RNAcentral lists this ribosomal RNA (116 nucleotides) under Chromatiales bacterium. The record is from RNAcentral. Lineage: Bacteria; Pseudomonadati; Pseudomonadota; Gammaproteobacteria; Chromatiales.
CCUGGCGGCCAAAGCGCGCGGGUACCACCUGAUCCCAUCCCGAACUCAGAAGUGAAACCGCGUAGCGCCGAUGGUAGUGUGGGGUUUCCCCAUGUGAGAGUAGGUCACUGCCAGGC